GACGAACGCUGGCGGCGUGCUUAACACAUGCAAGUCGAACGGAAAGGCCCUGCUUGCAGGGUGCUCGAGUGGCGAACGGGUGAGUAACACGUGGGUGAUCUGCCCCUUAUUUUGGGAUAAGCCUGGGAAACUGGGUCUAAUACUGGAUAGGACCAUGCUGUAGGUGGUGUGGUGGAAAGAUUAGUUUCGGUAAGGGAUGAGCUCGCGGCCUAUCAGCUUGUUGGUGGGGUAAUGGCCUACCAAGGCGUCGACGGGUAGCCGGCCUGAGAGGGUGGACGGCCACAUUGGGACUGAGAUACGGCCCAGACUCCUACGGGAGGCAGCAGUGGGGAAUAUUGCACUAUGGGCGCACGCCUGAUGCAGCGACGCCGCGUGGGGGGUGACGGCCUUCGGGUUGUAAACUCCUUUCAGCCAUGACGAAGCCCUUGUGGUGACGGUAGUGGUAGAAGAAGCACCGGCUAACUACGUG
This 469-nucleotide ribosomal RNA is filed under the name uncultured bacterium. RNAcentral describes it as "partial 16S ribosomal RNA". It matches the Rfam family "Bacterial small subunit ribosomal RNA", at positions 28 to 507 of the family's 1533-position model. The record is from RNAcentral.